GGGCGGGUGCUGGAAUUUGGUAGACAGGAUAGACUUAGGAUCUAUUGGGGUUACGCCUCGUGAGGGUUCAAGUCCCUCCUCGCCCA
Molecule: transfer RNA, 86 nt
Filed under: Candidatus Poribacteria bacterium
Lineage: Bacteria; Candidatus Poribacteria
Description: tRNA-Leu
Rfam family: tRNA
About the family: Transfer RNA (tRNA) molecules are approximately 80 nucleotides in length. Their secondary structure includes four short double-helical elements and three loops (D, anti-codon, and T loops).
Source: RNAcentral